AUUACCUGCGUCUGUGCCGCAUCUCUACUAGUAAAUACCGAAGCUGUGAGUUUAACUGUACGUUACUAUGGUUACAGCUGUUUAUAGGCAGUGCAUUAAUUUAAUUAAUUAAACUGACUGGAAUUAUACGGUUUUAGCGAACACCUUCCAGCCAAUUAGAAUCGAGUGUUCAGACAGAGCAGGGUAUGAGAUAAAGAUAAACUCAUAACUUUAUAAUGAUCCGAGAAACUCUUUUUUUUUUUUCAAAAAUUUUGCUCAAACUGCAUUGUCACUUGCAAUUGGUCAAUUUAUAGGCUGAAUCUAUAGACUGUAAAACCGGCUACGUUCAAUUAACUCCCAAAAUUUGAGGAAACUAAUGACCUUAAAGUUUUUACGUUAUAAAUAAAUCCAUUUCUUUUUAAUUUCUUACGGUAAUUAGUUUCCUCAAAAUUUUUGGAGUUAAUUGAGCUGAGCCGGUUUUACUGUGUAUCUGGACAAAUAGGAAGUUUGUAGUUUGCGUGCAAGUUGUUGAUCAAAGUGACUGAAAUAGUAGUUUCCACAAGCUUCUUGUAGGAAGAAUGUAGGAAGACACACACACACACACACACACACACACACACACACACACACACACACACACGUCAGUGGAAAAGCAGUGGGUGUGACUCUGUCACAAGGAGAGAUAGACCUACUGUAACUGACACUAUAGCUGUGACCCUACACCUUCUGAGGAAGUGAAGCAGAAGGAGCGUGUGUGUGUGUGUGUGUGUGUGUGUGUGUGUGUGUGUGUGUAUCUGGAAGACAAUGUCUCUGUGUCUGUGAUUUUUACAUGGCUUUUAGUUUUCAUGCUUUAUUUAUUUAAACUGCCAGCUCAUACUGUAUGACGAAACCAUGUGUGCUCUGUGGGGUGGGGGUGGGGGAGAGGUGAUGUGGGGUUUACGGAGGAAUUGUGUUUGGUUUUCUGAACAUAAUAUUUGCACAAGAGUGAGAACGUGUCAGCUGUGGUGUGACGGAGUAGGUUACUUGAUAUAUUUAUUGUGCAGUGAUCAUUUCCAUCACAACACGUGACCUUUUUGUUUUUUUUUUGUAGCACGGCGCUGUUUGGAUUCUGGAUUCUGAUUGGUCAGAAGGUGUUUAUUAAUUUUCUAUAAAAGCUCAAUAGUGGCAAUAGUGCAAGUGCAAAUUUAACGCUAGUAAUUAAAGUUUUAACAAAGAAAAACGUGGAAUUUUGGAUAAGGCGACGUUUUAUGUAUCUAUUUAACAGUUAUGGAUGUUAAACAGGCGACUGUUUAGCGCUGUGUAACAAAACCUUUUCUUUUAAUAACACUUAUUAAGCGUUCGGACGCUGAGUGAAGACACCAGUUGGUUAAGUUUAGCGAGCGGAAUUUUCCCCCAUUCAUCCGUUAUGCAUUUCUUCAGCUGCGCAGCUGUACAGCGCCUUUAUUGCCUUAUUUUGCGCUUUAUAAUGCACCACAUGUGCUCAAUGGGAGGCGGGUCAGGACUGCAGCGGACCACGCUCGCACCCGCACUCUCUGUUUACGUGACCAUGCGCUCGUAAUCCGGGCAGAAUGUGUUUUGUUGUUGUCCUGCUCUGGAUGGCAGCGUAUGUUGUUCCAAAAUGUGUA
Molecule: long non-coding RNA, 1604 nt
Organism: Ictalurus punctatus (channel catfish)
Lineage: Eukaryota; Metazoa; Chordata; Actinopteri; Siluriformes; Ictaluridae
Source: Ensembl